Vicia faba (fava bean) is the source of this 252-nucleotide non-coding RNA. Lineage: Eukaryota; Viridiplantae; Streptophyta; Magnoliopsida; Fabales; Fabaceae. The record is from the annotation of a GenBank genome assembly.
AUGCUCAUUGACAUAAUUAUAAAUGGACUAAUCAUUCUUGCACAUGUUGACUCACCAAACACAGAUGGCAUAGACCCUGAUUCAUGUACAAAUGUUAGGAUUGAAGACAACUACAUUGUCCUUGGGAGUAAAAUGUCAGGUGGAAUCCAAGAUGUUAGAAUUGAAGACAUAGCUGCAAUCACAACAGGAUCAACUAUUAGAAUCAAAAAUAUCUCCACCGUGCUUCUUCACUUGAAGGAGAAGCGGGGUUAA